RNAcentral lists this unclassified non-coding RNA (52 nucleotides) under Trypanosoma minasense. Its description in RNAcentral is "ITS5". Lineage: Eukaryota; Euglenozoa; Kinetoplastea; Trypanosomatida; Trypanosomatidae. The record is from RNAcentral.
ACUUUUUGAUUUCAUGGUUGUUUUAUUUAAAUAAUAAUAAUACAAUAUCCAU